CCAAUAGCGUAUAUUAAAGUUGUUGCAGUUAAAAAGCUCGUAGUUGAACUUCGGGGUUUACCCAUUGGUCAGGCUUAAUUGUCUGCACUGGUGAGAUGAAUCUCUACCUUCUGAGGAACUUUCAUGCCAUUUAUUUGGUGUGAUUGGAAAUCAGGACUGUUACUUUGAAAAAAUUAGAGUGUUUAAAGCAGGCUAACGUCUGAAUACAUUAGCAUGGAAUAAUGAAAUAGGACGGACUGAUUCUAUUUCGUUGGUUUCUAGGAUCACCGUAAUGAUUAAUAGGGAUAGUUGGGGGCAGUAGUAUUCAAUUGUCAGAGGUGAAAUUCUUGUAUUUAUUGAAGACUAACUACUGCGAAAGCAUUUGCCAAGGAUGUUUUCAUUAAUCAAGAACGAAAGUUAGGGGAUCGAAGACGAUCAGAUACCGUCGUAGUCUUAACCAUAAACUAUGCCGACUAGGGAUCGGAUGAUGUUAAUUUUUUAAUGACUCAUUCGGCGCCUUACG
Molecule: ribosomal RNA, 502 nt
Filed under: uncultured Glomeromycotina
Lineage: Eukaryota; Fungi; Glomeromycota
Description: partial small subunit ribosomal RNA
Rfam family: Eukaryotic small subunit ribosomal RNA
Source: RNAcentral